AGUGAACGCUGGCGGCAGGCCUAACACAUGCAAGUCGAACGGCAGCACAGUAAGAGCUUGCUCUUACGGGUGGCGAGUGGCGGACGGGUGAGGAAUACAUCGGAAUCUACUUUUUCGUGGGUGAUAACGUAGGGAAACUUACGCUAAUAGCGCAUACGACCUACGGGUUAAAGCAGUGGAUCUUCGGACCUUUCGCGAUUGAAUGAGCCGAUGUCGGAUUAGCUAGUUGGCGGGGUAACGGCCCACCAAGGCGACGAUCCGUAGCGGGUCUGAGAGGAUGAUCAGCCACACUGGAACUGAGACACGGUCCAGACUCCUACGGGAGGCAGCAGUGGGGAAUAUUCGACAAUGGGCGAAAGCCUGAUCCAGCAAUGCCGCGUGAGUGAAGAAGGCCUUCGGGUUGUAAAGCCCUUUUGUUGGGAAAGAAAAGCAGCAGGUUAAUACCCCGCUGUUCUGACGGUACCCAAAGAAUAAGCCCCGGCUAACUUCGUG
This 492-nucleotide ribosomal RNA is filed under the name uncultured bacterium. RNAcentral describes it as "partial 16S ribosomal RNA". It matches the Rfam family "Bacterial small subunit ribosomal RNA", at positions 29 to 507 of the family's 1533-position model. The record is from RNAcentral.